This 483-nucleotide ribosomal RNA is filed under the name uncultured bacterium. RNAcentral describes it as "partial 16S ribosomal RNA". It matches the Rfam family "Bacterial small subunit ribosomal RNA", at positions 28 to 523 of the family's 1533-position model. The record is from RNAcentral.
GACGAACGCUGGCGGCGUGCUUAACACAUGCAAGUCGAACGAUGAAGCUGGAGCUUGCUCCGGUGGAUUAGUGGCGAACGGGUGAGUAACACGUGAGCAAUCUGCCCUUCACUCUGGGAUAACUGCGGGAAACUGUAGCUAAUACCGGAUACGAGACCUUGGGGCAUCCCAGGGUCUGGAAAGAAUUUCGGUGAAGGAUGAGCUCGCGGCCUAUCAGCUAGUUGGUGAGGUAAUGGCUCACCAAGGCGACGACGGGUAGCCGGCCUGAGAGGGUGACCGGCCACACUGGGACGGGGACACGGCCCAGACUCCUACGGGGGGCAGCCGGGGGGGAUAUUGCACAAUGGGCGAAAGACUGAUGCAGCAACGCCGCGUGAGGGAUGAAGGCCUUCGGGUUGUAAACCUCUUUUAGUAGGGAAGAAGCGCAAGUGACGGUACCUACAGAAAAAGCACCGGCUAACUACGUGCCAGCCGCCGCAGUAA